UGUAUUUGCCAUUUUGCAGGGCUUUGAUGAGGAAGAACAUGGUGAUGGGGAUGGAAGUAAGGCAUCUGAGCGUUUUGUAGGAGCCAUGGCACAAAGAUUAUGUGCCACAGGGAGUCUAAAUUUUUGGUGCCCUUCCAAGGAUUUUGGUGUAGUCCCAAUUAUAUAAGUAUAUAUUAUGCAAGGAUGGUGCAUGUAUUUAUAUAGAUGUAAUGUAUCUAAAUUUAUCAUAGCAAUUAAUGUUUGAGUCUACAACGAGAUAUUGGUAGCAUAGUAUGGAUUCAAGUGCCGCUCUAUCUCACCAAACACGUAGGCACGGUUGCGUGCUAGGUUUUUGUCGCCUAGCUAACCGAUUGUGGAAAAGAGAUAUUCUUUUUUUUUCUAGGAGCCAAAAAGAGAUAUUCUAAUGAACAAGUGUUUUGCCGUGUUCCUAGCUAACCGAAUGCCGUGUUUUGCUCCUGCUGGAAGCCAAAUGUCUCGUGAUUGCACAGUUGUGCAUAUGGCUGCAGCCACCUGCCUUUUGGUGAAAAAGUUAAUAUGUUUAUGGACAUCUUGCGUGAACAUGGUUUAUGAUGGC
This 574-nucleotide long non-coding RNA is filed under the name Setaria viridis. Its description in RNAcentral is "long non-coding RNA (SVIR_LNC006652)". Lineage: Eukaryota; Viridiplantae; Streptophyta; Magnoliopsida; Poales; Poaceae. The record is from RNAcentral.